RNAcentral lists this long non-coding RNA (237 nucleotides) under Gallus gallus (chicken). Lineage: Eukaryota; Metazoa; Chordata; Aves; Galliformes; Phasianidae. The record is from RNAcentral.
CUGGAGGUUGCUGGGGUCCGUGAAAACCUUGGCACAGUUCUCACACUCGUAGUGCUUGCCGCUGUCAUGCGACAUUUGGUGCCGUAUCAAGUUGGACUUCCAGUUGAAAGCUUUGGGGCACUGGUCGCACUUGUACUCCCGCUCCUCGCUGUGGGACAGCAUGUGCUUCUCCAGGCUUUGUAAGUCUGGGAAGACUUGAUCACACUCUUUACACUCCUGGAUUUCAUGCACAUCCCG